GGGUAACGGCCCACCAAGGCUACGAUCAGUAGGGGUUCUGAGAGGAAGGUCCCCCACAUUGGAACUGAGACACGGUCCAAACUCCUACGGGAGGCAGCAGUGAGGAAUAUUGGUCAAUGGACGAGAGUCUGAACCAGCCAAGUAGCGUGCAGGAUGACGGCCCUAUGGGUUGUAAACUGCUUUUAUAAGGGAAUAAAGUGAGCCUCGUGAGGCUUUUUGCAUGUACCUUAUGAAUAAGGACCGGCUAAUUCCGUGCCAGCAGCCGCGGUAAUACGGAAGGUCCGGGCGUUAUCCGGAUUUAUUGGGUUUAAAGGGAGCGUAGGCCGGAGAUUAAGCGUGUUGUGAAAUGUAGACGCUCAACGUCUGCACUGCAGCGCGAACUGGUUUCCUUGAGUACGCACAAAGUGGGCGGAAUUCGUGGUGUAGCGGUGAAAUGCUUAGAUAUCACGAAGAACUCCGAUUGCGAAGGCAGCUCACUGGAGCGCAACUGACGCUGAAGCUCGAAAGUGCGGGUAUCGAACAGGAUUAGAUACCCUGGUAGUCCGCACGGUAAACGAUGGAUGCCCGCUGUUGGUCUGAAUAGGUCAGCGGCCAAGCGAAAGCAUUAAGCAUCCCACCUGGGGAG
RNAcentral lists this ribosomal RNA (625 nucleotides) under uncultured bacterium. RNAcentral describes it as "bacterial SSU rRNA". It matches the Rfam family "Bacterial small subunit ribosomal RNA", at positions 255 to 880 of the family's 1533-position model. The record is from RNAcentral.